RNAcentral lists this long non-coding RNA (3924 nucleotides) under Salmo salar (Atlantic salmon). Its description in RNAcentral is "lncRNA (ENSSSAG00000101953.1)". Lineage: Eukaryota; Metazoa; Chordata; Actinopteri; Salmoniformes; Salmonidae. The record is from RNAcentral.
UUUACUGGGAGUUGUUCACCACCAUAACCAGUCAGUCUGCGCAUGGUGGGCUGUAGCUCCCCACUCAGAUGUCAAGCUGCGGUAUUUAUUCAGAGGAAUAAUGUUUACUUGUGCACCAGUGUCUAGUUUGAACUUUAGCUUUGUGCCUUGUGUUCCUAUCUCAAUGUCAGCAAAGGCUUGCUCUGUCUCUGAUAUGUGACUUUUCUGUGUCACUGAAUCAAUAAACAGUUCAUCAUCAUUUGACUCUUUGAUUGACAUUUCAUCUUCACUCACUGUGUGUACUGUUUUUCCACGGUAAGCUCUGCACACUUUUGCAAAGUGGUUCCAUUUACCACAUUUAGUACACUGUUUGCCUUUAGCUGGGCCAUUUCCUUGUUCGCCAUGCACUUUGUAUCCACAAUAUCCACAUGUUUUGGGGCGUUUUGAGUCUGUGUCGCUCUGUUUUGGAGUUAUGUCUCUCUCCGUUCUGAAACGCUCUCUCUGGGCACCGGAGGUGUGCUUUGAUGUCUGCCUGACUGCGUGCACUGCUUGUUCACGUGAUGCGCUCGUGCUGCGGCGCGAAAUGGUUUUCAUCUGAGCCUGUGCUAGCUCGUGAGAUCUGGCUAUGUCGAUAGCUUUGUCCAGCGUUAGCUCAGACCCAACAUUCAAAAGUUUCUCUCUCACUCGCGGUGAGUGUAUUCCAAAUACAAUACGGUCCCUGACCAUCUCAUCCUUGUUUGCAUAAUCACAGUCUUUCACAAGCAGACGCAGCUCAGUCACAAACUGUUCAAAAGACUCGCUAGCUCCCUGUACUUUCUCAUGGAAUUUGUACCUAUCGAAAAUUGUAUUAGUCUUCGGCACAACAUAUGCUUCAAAACGAUCGUAUUAUGUUUUCAGUACCUUUGAUUCAGCCUCGGGGACCCGUGAACAUUAGCUCCACAUGCUGUUUGUACUUACGCCAUGCAUCGGGUAAGUUUGUAGACUCCCAGUCCAUUCGAGGUGAAGGAACUCCAGAAAAAUCCAUCUUUUAAGACCAUUUACUCUGACACCAUGUUUUGUUUUGUACGCUUUGUACAAAAUAAUAAAACGCAGAACCACAGGAUGUUUCUUAACAUAACUCUUUAUUAACUAGUUACAACUCCAUGUUAGCCUAUCUCCAACCACGAUCAACUGCCCACGACCCAACCGUCUGGGUGGUCCCAACCAAUCACCGCACAGUAUGACACGGCGGUAAAAUGCAUCCAACUAUAACUCAGCAUGUAUUCACAUAUGAAUAUUACAAAUACCACAAUAUUGUUUUGUAACUUGACUGUUGAAGUGAAUGUAAUGGUUUUGAACAAUAUAGUAAUUGUAUAAGUUCGUACUAGACAGAAAACGCAUGUCUAGUGUAAAAUGAAAUGAUGGCGGUGCAUUUGUUCUAGAAAACAACGAACUCCUGAAAAUGUUUUUUUUUUAAAGUCACUCCUGACAAUAUCCUAAGGGUUUAGAGAAUUUAAUGUUGUAACUGUGAUGUUUAAGAACUUUGUAAUUGUUGUACUCUAAAUGUUAGAAAAGCGGUUAGCAUUUGGCUAGCUGCGGUUAGCUUUUGGCUAGCUCCGGUCAGUUGGUUGCUAGCUUCGGUUAGCGCUAUGCUAGCUUGUUCAAACAUUUUCCAAUAAUUAGCAUUCAUGUCAGUUGAAAUAGUCUUGUCUUUCUAUUAGCUCUUACACUGGGUGAAUGUAUCUUUUAGCAUGGGUAUAAAGUAAACUUAUAUUGAGUUAUAUCAGUCUUUAAAGGCUUUCAUGUUUUAGAGUCUCCUAUGGGGCUCUAGGGGGCAACAGUCAACUAACGUUGCAUAAUUAUAACCUAAACAGGUGAAUUAAAGUUAAGAGUAAAUGUGUUUGGGGUAUAAAUGUAAAGAAUUUGAGGACUUGGAUUGGAAUGUAAUAUUUUUUAUGUCUACAUUGAUGUAUGUUUGAUAUGUGUAUGAACUAAUGUCAGGGAUUUAUGAGAGAUUAUUAAAUACACUUUAAAGAAAACAAAAUAAAAAAUUGCAAUACGAUGAAAAGACACAUGACAGAAUGUUGAAUAAAAUAAUUGAGAGAACCUUUGAAAGAGAAGCCACGUUUUCCUGUUUCAUAAUUUAUCCUGUGUUACAAGAACUAUUUUCUGCUUCACCUGUCCCAAAACAGGGACCUGUAACAAUAGCAAAGACUAACAAGAGGAUCUGAAACUAUGACUAAUAAAAUCAGUCAACAUGUUUUGAGUAAUAGCUAGUUUAUUGGAUUAAAUCAGAGCUAAGUGAUUGAUCGAAACAUGCAUUCCUCUCUUAACACGAAAUUCAACUUGAAAUUUUGCCGGGCAUGCUAGCUGCCUAUAGCUUUCAUGAUAGCCUGCAGAGAGAAAAUGUCCUUUUGUUGCAUACUAUCGAUAGCUACGAAGUGUCAUCGACAGUACAUAGUCCUUACUUCUAGUAAGCAUUUAGUAAAUAAUAUAAAUUAAUGACACUACUACACUAUGCUCAGCAGCUGGCUAGCCCUGCAGCUCGUGCUAGCUAGUCCAUAAACAAAACAAAAAAAUGCUCUGCCUCUUCUUUUUUUUAAAGGUUUUAUUGCGGACUACAUCCAAAAAGGUGUAUUGCCGCCACCUACUGGGUAGGGUAAAACUGAGAUACUUUAACCCAAAAAAUAUGUUAAUAAUUAAAAUGAAACAAAAGUCAAUGUACUCCUUCACUUGGUCAAAUGUACUCAGAUCCCUACUCAGGCUUUGGGGCCUGAGAGGGGGAACAUCUUCAGACAGUUUUCCCUACAAAGUUUCUGCUGUGAAAUCCAGGAUAUCCCAGAACCUUUUAGCCGCUUUCACAAUUUCCAAUUUCUUAGAUGUUUUGUUCGUUUGUCCUGUACAAUUAAUCACUUGCACAAUAAACAAAACAAAAUCAACCUUCACGAUUAGUAUUUCAGGAUCUCUCAACUGACUGACAUCCACAGACUGUUGGACAUCAUCCACUGCCAUAGCUUCAUCUCUACUCGCUGCUUUGAUAAUUUUCACAGCUUCUGCAUAGGACACCUCAACAGCCCUGAUCGUUCCUACUUUGACAUCCUCCACCCUAACAGGGCACUACGGGAACUCUGGAACAAUUGCAACACUGUGCAUCCUCACUGAUUCAACAAUGAUAUUCCGUUUUCAAACACAUGGCCAAACGUUUUACAUUGAAGUGGCUUUUGUACAUAAGCUCGCACCACAUAUCUUAUAUAUCCCAGCUUUACACAGGUCAGGAAAACUUUUUCAUGAAACAUCAAUAACAGUCUUUCCCCCUUCUUUCCAUUCACAGUGUGGGUUAAGCGACGUGAAUCAACUAUUCUUGACAUGUUCAUCUUAAACUAUGAAGCCUCCAUAUCCAUCGAGACGCUGGAUAUGAUACCGGUACCCUACUUCGAUAAUCAUAACAUUCCACUUCAUGCUUCGAUAAUUUGUGCUUUCUCCUUUUGUUCUUUUGACACGUGAAAUCAACAUCAUAACACUCCUGGUCAUUCUGACUGACUCCACUUCUUGUGACCGCAAACGUGUUUCCCCCAAAAAACAUCCUUUCUCAUGAAUUGCACUCCAACAAGGAAUGGGGCAUUAUCAUUCCGAGGCUUAUCUUGAUUUACAACUGUAGCCCUUUUACAAUAGCUCCAUUCUUAUGUUCCAGUAUUCCACUCAUUUCCUCUAUCUUCACUAGGGCCAACAGAAUCAAGGAUUACUUCUGCCAUUGCUCUCCCACCUCCCUGGCUGAUUUCCGUGCACUAUCAAAAACGCCGUUUUGAAAUUACCACCGAGCUAUAGGAAAUUACAAUUACUAUUAGCCCUGUGACACAUGUGCUCAAAGAACCCCUCUCUGCAUUUUAGAAACUGCCUGAAUAAAAUAGAAGUUAAUGAGCAGCAGUUAAAGAAUGCUGCGUCCAAAGAUCUGAUGAAAAACUGUUU